UGGGGAAUAUUGGACAAUGGGCGCAAGCCUGAUCCAGCCAUGCCGCGUGAGUGAUGAAGGCCCUAGGGUUGUAAAGCUCUUUCACCGGUGAAGAUAAUGACGGUAACCGGAGAAGAAGCCCCGGCUAACUUCGUGCCAGCAGCCGCGGUAAUACGAAGGGGGCUAGCGUUGUUCGGAUUUACUGGGCGUAAAGCGCACGUAGGCGGACUAUUAAGUCAGGGGUGAAAUCCCGAGGCUCAACCCCGGAACUGCCUUUGAUACUGGUAGUCUUGAGUUCGAGAGAGGGGAGUGGAAUUCCGAGUGUAGAGGUGAAAUUCGUAGAUAUUCGGGGGAACACCAGUGGCGAAGGCGGCUCACUGGCUCGAUACUGACGCUGAGGUGCGAAAGCGUGGGGAGCAAACAGG
Molecule: ribosomal RNA, 404 nt
Filed under: Actinomycetes bacterium
Lineage: Bacteria; Bacillati; Actinomycetota; Actinomycetes
Description: Actinobacteria bacterium partial 16S ribosomal RNA
Rfam family: Bacterial small subunit ribosomal RNA
Source: RNAcentral